Molecule: ribosomal RNA, 2925 nt
Filed under: Escherichia coli
Lineage: Bacteria; Pseudomonadati; Pseudomonadota; Gammaproteobacteria; Enterobacterales; Enterobacteriaceae
Description: 23S ribosomal RNA
Rfam family: Bacterial large subunit ribosomal RNA
Source: RNAcentral
GGGUUGUGAGGUUAAGCGACUAAGCGUACACGGUGGAUGCCCUGGCAGUCAGAGGCGAUGAAGGACGUGCUAAUCUGCGAUAAGCGUCGGUAAGGUGAUAUGAACCGUUAUAACCGGCGAUUUCCGAAUGGGGAAACCCAGUGUGUUUCGACACACUAUCAUUAACUGAAUCCAUAGGUUAAUGAGGCGAACCGGGGGAACUGAAACAUCUAAGUACCCCGAGGAAAAGAAAUCAACCGAGAUUCCCCCAGUAGCGGCGAGCGAACGGGGAGCAGCCCAGAGCCUGAAUCAGUGUGUGUGUUAGUGGAAGCGUCUGGAAAGGCGCGCGAUACAGGGUGACAGCCCCGUACACAAAAAUGCACAUGCUGUGAGCUCGAUGAGUAGGGCGGGACACGUGGUAUCCUGUCUGAAUAUGGGGGGACCAUCCUCCAAGGCUAAAUACUCCUGACUGACCGAUAGUGAACCAGUACCGUGAGGGAAAGGCGAAAAGAACCCCGGCGAGGGGAGUGAAAAAGAACCUGAAACCGUGUACGUACAAGCAGUGGGAGCACGCUUAGGCGUGUGACUGCGUACCUUUUGUAUAAUGGGUCAGCGACUUAUAUUCUGUAGCAAGGUUAACCGAAUAGGGGAGCCGAAGGGAAACCGAGUCUUAACUGGGCGUUAAGUUGCAGGGUAUAGACCCGAAACCCGGUGAUCUAGCCAUGGGCAGGUUGAAGGUUGGGUAACACUAACUGGAGGACCGAACCGACUAAUGUUGAAAAAUUAGCGGAUGACUUGUGGCUGGGGGUGAAAGGCCAAUCAAACCGGGAGAUAGCUGGUUCUCCCCGAAAGCUAUUUAGGUAGCGCCUCGUGAAUUCAUCUCCGGGGGUAGAGCACUGUUUCGGCAAGGGGGUCAUCCCGACUUACCAACCCGAUGCAAACUGCGAAUACCGGAGAAUGUUAUCACGGGAGACACACGGCGGGUGCUAACGUCCGUCGUGAAGAGGGAAACAACCCAGACCGCCAGCUAAGGUCCCAAAGUCAUGGUUAAGUGGGAAACGAUGUGGGAAGGCCCAGACAGCCAGGAUGUUGGCUUAGAAGCAGCCAUCAUUUAAAGAAAGCGUAAUAGCUCACUGGUCGAGUCGGCCUGCGCGGAAGAUGUAACGGGGCUAAACCAUGCACCGAAGCUGCGGCAGCGACGCUGAUGCGUUGUUGGGUAGGGGAGCGUUCUGUAAGCCUGUGAAGGUGUACUGUGAGGUAUGCUGGAGGUAUCAGAAGUGCGAAUGCUGACAUAAGUAACGAUAAAGCGGGUGAAAAGCCCGCUCGCCGGAAGACCAAGGGUUCCUGUCCAACGUUAAUCGGGGCAGGGUGAGUCGACCCCUAAGGCGAGGCCGAAAGGCGUAGUCGAUGGGAAACAGGUUAAUAUUCCUGUACUUGGUGUUACUGCGAAGGGGGGACGGAGAAGGCUAUGUUGGCCGGGCGACGGUUGUCCCGGUUUAAGCGUGUAGGCUGGUUUUCCAGGCAAAUCCGGAAAAUCAAGGCUGAGGCGUGAUGACGAGGCACUACGGUGCUGAAGCAACAAAUGCCCUGCUUCCAGGAAAAGCCUCUAAGCAUCAGGUAACAUCAAAUCGUACCCCAAACCGACACAGGUGGUCAGGUAGAGAAUACCAAGGCGCUUGAGAGAACUCGGGUGAAGGAACUAGGCAAAAUGGUGCCGUAACUUCGGGAGAAGGCACGCUGAUAUGUAGGUGAGGUCCCUCGCGGAUGGAGCUGAAAUCAGUCGAAGAUACCAGCUGGCUGCAACUGUUUAUUAAAAACACAGCACUGUGCAAACACGAAAGUGGACGUAUACGGUGUGACGCCUGCCCGGUGCCGGAAGGUUAAUUGAUGGGGUUAGCGCAAGCGAAGCUCUUGAUCGAAGCCCCGGUAAACGGCGGCCGUAACUAUAACGGUCCUAAGGUAGCGAAAUUCCUUGUCGGGUAAGUUCCGACCUGCACGAAUGGCGUAAUGAUGGCCAGGCUGUCUCCACCCGAGACUCAGUGAAAUUGAACUCGCUGUGAAGAUGCAGUGUACCCGCGGCAAGACGGAAAGACCCCGUGAACCUUUACUAUAGCUUGACACUGAACAUUGAGCCUUGAUGUGUAGGAUAGGUGGGAGGCUUAGAAGUGUGGACGCCAGUCUGCAUGGAGCCGACCUUGAAAUACCACCCUUUAAUGUUUGAUGUUCUAACGUUGACCCGUAAUCCGGGUUGCGGACAGUGUCUGGUGGGUAGUUUGACUGGGGCGGUCUCCUCCUAAAGAGUAACGGAGGAGCACGAAGGUUGGCUAAUCCUGGUCGGACAUCAGGAGGUUAGUGCAAUGGCAUAAGCCAGCUUGACUGCGAGCGUGACGGCGCGAGCAGGUGCGAAAGCAGGUCAUAGUGAUCCGGUGGUUCUGAAUGGAAGGGCCAUCGCUCAACGGAUAAAAGGUACUCCGGGGAUAACAGGCUGAUACCGCCCAAGAGUUCAUAUCGACGGCGGUGUUUGGCACCUCGAUGUCGGCUCAUCACAUCCUGGGGCUGAAGUAGGUCCCAAGGGUAUGGCUGUUCGCCAUUUAAAGUGGUACGCGAGCUGGGUUUAGAACGUCGUGAGACAGUUCGGUCCCUAUCUGCCGUGGGCGCUGGAGAACUGAGGGGGGCUGCUCCUAGUACGAGAGGACCGGAGUGGACGCAUCACUGGUGUUCGGGUUGUCAUGCCAAUGGCACUGCCCGGUAGCUAAAUGCGGAAGAGAUAAGUGCUGAAAGCAUCUAAGCACGAAACUUGCCCCGAGAUGAGUUCUCCCUGACUCCUUGAGAGUCCUGAAGGAACGUUGAAGACGACGACGUUGAUAGGCCGGGUGUGUAAGCGCAGCGAUGCGUUGAGCUAACCGGUACUAAUGAACCGUGAGGCUUAACCUUACAACGCCGAAG